Molecule: ribosomal RNA, 459 nt
Filed under: uncultured bacterium
Lineage: Bacteria
Description: partial 16S ribosomal RNA
Rfam family: Bacterial small subunit ribosomal RNA
Source: RNAcentral
CCUACGGGUGGCAGCAGUGAGGAAUAUUGGUCAAUGGGCGGAAGCCUGAACCAGCCAAGUAGCGUGCGGGAUGAAGGCCCUACGGGUCGUAAACCGCUUUUGCACGGGGAUAACACCCUCCACUUGUGGAGGUCUGCAGGUACCGUGCGAAUAAGGGUCGGCUAAUGCCGUGCCAGCAGCCGCGGUAAUACGGAAGGCCCGAGCGUUAUCCGGAUUCAUUGGGCUUAAAGGGAGCGUAGGCGGGCGUUAAAGUCAGCUGUAAAAUCGCGCGGCUCAAACGCGCCCGGAAGUUGAAACUGGAAGCCUUGAGUUCACAACAGGCAGGCGGAAUUCGUGGUGUAGCGGUGAAAUGCAUAGAUAUCACGAAGAACCCCGAUUGCGAAGGCAGCCUGCCCGGGUGCGACUGACGCUGAGGCUCGAAGGUGCGGGUAUCAAACAGGAUUAGAUACCCCAGUAGUC